UAAACGGCCCUUUUCAGGGCCAUCAAUAUAUUACAAAAAGAUUCU
Molecule: non-coding RNA, 45 nt
Filed under: Mytilus galloprovincialis (Mediterranean mussel)
Lineage: Eukaryota; Metazoa; Mollusca; Bivalvia; Mytilida; Mytilidae
Rfam family: Histone 3' UTR stem-loop
About the family: The mRNAs of metazoan histone genes lack a poly-A tail. 3' end processing occurs at a site between a highly conserved stem-loop (modelled by this family) and a purine rich region around 20 nts downstream (the histone downstream element, or HDE). The stem-loop is bound by a 31 kDa stem-loop binding protein (SLBP - also termed the histone hairpin binding protein, or HBP).
Source: RNAcentral